Molecule: unclassified non-coding RNA, 391 nt
Filed under: Mycoplasma sp. enrichment culture clone 186054
Lineage: Bacteria; Bacillati; Mycoplasmatota; Mollicutes; Mycoplasmatales; Mycoplasmataceae
Also listed under: 5 other names
Description: partial 16S-23S ribosomal RNA intergenic spacer
Source: RNAcentral
UACUACUACUAAAUGUGGUUAAAAUCAAACUAACACAUUAGAAAAUUUAAUAAUUUGAAAUAAUUUGUUCUAUUAAUUCAUUUUCUCCUUGUUUAGUUUUGUAAAUAUUAUUUUUUUGUAAAGUAAAUUUUUUUAAUGAAUAUUUUAUAAUCACAAUUUGAAAUUGAUUAUGUACCUAGUUUUGAGAGCUCUAAAACUCUCAAAACGUCUGUAAAAAGACAAUAUUAGCUCUUUCAAAACUGAACAGUAACAAUUUUAUAUCUGAUCUAAAAAUCAGAUAAUAUUCCAAAGUCUUUUAAAAUUAAACCGAGUUUAUUUUUAAAAUUUUAUAACUUUUAGUUAUAAAAACUCUAAAAUUGUUAAAAUACCUUAAGAUAUAUUAUCUAAAUAG